Molecule: long non-coding RNA, 144 nt
Organism: Haliotis rubra (blacklip abalone)
Lineage: Eukaryota; Metazoa; Mollusca; Gastropoda; Lepetellida; Haliotidae
Exons: 3
Source: RefSeq, a predicted model, not a curated record
GGUGGUCCACCCCGAUCUACACUGACACAGGUACUGACUGGGUGGUCCACUCUGAUCUACACUGACACAGGUACUGACUGGGUGGUCCACUCUGAUCUACACUGACACAGGUACUGACUGGGUGGUCCACUCCGAUCUACACCG